This 68-nucleotide transfer RNA is filed under the name Spodoptera frugiperda (fall armyworm). RNAcentral's name for it is "tRNA-Cys". Lineage: Eukaryota; Metazoa; Arthropoda; Insecta; Lepidoptera; Noctuidae. RNAcentral also lists the same sequence under 1 other name. The record is from RNAcentral.
AGUCUUAUAUUCAAAAAUGAUAUAAAAUUGCAAAUUUUAAGGAAUAGUAUAUAAUUCUAUUAAGGCUU